Molecule: non-coding RNA, 1229 nt
Organism: Aegilops tauschii subsp. strangulata
Lineage: Eukaryota; Viridiplantae; Streptophyta; Magnoliopsida; Poales; Poaceae
Source: RefSeq, a predicted model, not a curated record
UCGACUGAGACUUCGCGAAGUCUCAGUCGACGAGCUAGCCAUUGGAUGCUUUGGUUGUUCCAAGAUUCGUGUUCGGUGCUUUGCCCUAUGUUUCGGCCUAUAUAAGGCGCCGACCGGCCCGUUUUUCUUUUUUUUUAGUCGGAGCGUCAUCGCGCUUGCCUUUUGUGGGCUGGACAGGUGCUCGGGGUGGGCCUUUUUGUUUGUUUGUUCUUUUUUUUACUGUCUUGUUUUUUUGGCCGCAGUAAAGAAAUGGAAUGGGAAGCGGCGGCCGAGAGCACCCCGUGGCUAGUAAUCAGUCCAUUUCUUCGUCUAUCUCUCUGUUCUUUCUCUGUCAAAAAGUCAAAGAUCUCUGCGGUGGAACGAAAGAAAUCGCCUUUGCUCUUGAACGGCCAGUGAGAGCCUGGGCGAUGCUGCUAGUGGAGUACUUAGAGAUUAAUUAGGAUCUUUGGCCGAGAAGAUCUGGAAUAGUAUUGAGCAAAAGAGAUGGCUUGUGGAGUUUGUUUGAACCAUUGCAACUAUGAGAGUGAGGGAAGCGGUUUCAGCAUGUAUGUAUGGGAGCACUUCAAAAACGCAGGGGUUGUGCCAUGCAAUGAAAGGGUCCGUUUCAACAACAUGAUGGGAGCGAAGGAAUAGUCUUGUUGAGUUUGUAGCUGAAUUAAAGGGAUUGUUAGCAGUGGUAUUUGGUAGGCAGGCUUUUGUUUAAAGAAUGAAAAUGGACCAAAAUAUAUCUGCAUGUCAACAUGGAUGUGAUGUCAUGUGUGCUGACGGGGGCUGUAAUUUUUGGUGACUUUUUUCGCUGUGCGUCGAUGCAUGCUUACAUUUUCAAAUACUAGCAGCAGAUCAGUUGCUUGGGGGAGUGGGGAGGGGUGGACAUGAUUUGGGAGAUGUUUGAGGGGCCAUGACAUUGUGGGAUCCCAGGGGAAUGAUUAUAUAUUUUUUGUCUUGUUUUUUUUAACUCAAGCAAUCACUAAAGUUUGUAUAUUCCUGAAGUAGAGUCGAGACAAUGUGUAUGCCUGUUCCAGGUUCAGUUUUUGUUUACUAUAAUGACAACGAUGGUGUCUUUGUUAUGCUAGCCAGAUUUUUUGUAGGCUUGGCAGUGCCCUGCUUGAGAUAACAAACAUCAAAUCAUUUGUAAAAGCUGGCUACCCAAUCCUGGGCUUUGCACGCGUGUGUGUGUUGGGAUGAAUGUUUUUCAUAACAGAGAUCACAACUAGUAGCUGCUGGAUAUA